This 1550-nucleotide ribosomal RNA is filed under the name Klebsiella pneumoniae. RNAcentral describes it as "bacterial SSU rRNA". It matches the Rfam family "Bacterial small subunit ribosomal RNA". The record is from RNAcentral. Lineage: Bacteria; Pseudomonadati; Pseudomonadota; Gammaproteobacteria; Enterobacterales; Enterobacteriaceae.
AAAUUGAAGAGUUUGAUCAUGGCUCAGAUUGAACGCUGGCGGCAGGCCUAACACAUGCAAGUCGAGCGGUAGCACAGAGAGCUUGCUCUCGGGUGACGAGCGGCGGACGGGUGAGUAAUGUCUGGGAAACUGCCUGAUGGAGGGGGAUAACUACUGGAAACGGUAGCUAAUACCGCAUAAUGUCGCAAGACCAAAGUGGGGGACCUUCGGGCCUCAUGCCAUCAGAUGUGCCCAGAUGGGAUUAGCUAGUAGGUGGGGUAACGGCUCACCUAGGCGACGAUCCCUAGCUGGUCUGAGAGGAUGACCAGCCACACUGGAACUGAGACACGGUCCAGACUCCUACGGGAGGCAGCAGUGGGGAAUAUUGCACAAUGGGCGCAAGCCUGAUGCAGCCAUGCCGCGUGUGUGAAGAAGGCCUUCGGGUUGUAAAGCACUUUCAGCGGGGAGGAAGGCGGUGAGGUUAAUAACCUCAUCGAUUGACGUUACCCGCAGAAGAAGCACCGGCUAACUCCGUGCCAGCAGCCGCGGUAAUACGGAGGGUGCAAGCGUUAAUCGGAAUUACUGGGCGUAAAGCGCACGCAGGCGGUCUGUCAAGUCGGAUGUGAAAUCCCCGGGCUCAACCUGGGAACUGCAUUCGAAACUGGCAGGCUAGAGUCUUGUAGAGGGGGGUAGAAUUCCAGGUGUAGCGGUGAAAUGCGUAGAGAUCUGGAGGAAUACCGGUGGCGAAGGCGGCCCCCUGGACAAAGACUGACGCUCAGGUGCGAAAGCGUGGGGAGCAAACAGGAUUAGAUACCCUGGUAGUCCACGCCGUAAACGAUGUCGAUUUGGAGGUUGUGCCCUUGAGGCGUGGCUUCCGGAGCUAACGCGUUAAAUCGACCGCCUGGGGAGUACGGCCGCAAGGUUAAAACUCAAAUGAAUUGACGGGGGCCCGCACAAGCGGUGGAGCAUGUGGUUUAAUUCGAUGCAACGCGAAGAACCUUACCUGGUCUUGACAUCCACAGAACUUAGCAGAGAUGCUUUGGUGCCUUCGGGAACUGUGAGACAGGUGCUGCAUGGCUGUCGUCAGCUCGUGUUGUGAAAUGUUGGGUUAAGUCCCGCAACGAGCGCAACCCUUAUCCUUUGUUGCCAGCGGUCCGGCCGGGAACUCAAAGGAGACUGCCAGUGAUAAACUGGAGGAAGGUGGGGAUGACGUCAAGUCAUCAUGGCCCUUACGACCAGGGCUACACACGUGCUACAAUGGCAUAUACAAAGAGAAGCGACCUCGCGAGAGCAAGCGGACCUCAUAAAGUAUGUCGUAGUCCGGAUUGGAGUCUGCAACUCGACUCCAUGAAGUCGGAAUCGCUAGUAAUCGUAGAUCAGAAUGCUACGGUGAAUACGUUCCCGGGCCUUGUACACACCGCCCGUCACACCAUGGGAGUGGGUUGCAAAAGAAGUAGGUAGCUUAACCUUCGGGAGGGCGCUUACCACUUUGUGAUUCAUGACUGGGGUGAAGUCGUAACAAGGUAACCGUAGGGGAACCUGCGGUUGGAUCACCUCCUUACCUUAAAGAA